This 956-nucleotide ribosomal RNA is filed under the name Lojkania enalia. RNAcentral's name for it is "partial large subunit ribosomal RNA". It matches the Rfam family "Eukaryotic large subunit ribosomal RNA", at positions 24 to 1412 of the family's 3401-position model. Lineage: Eukaryota; Fungi; Ascomycota; Dothideomycetes; Pleosporales. The record is from RNAcentral.
UUUGACCCCCCGGGGCUUAAGCAUAUCAAUAAGCGGAGGAAAAGAAACCAACGGGGAUUGCCCUAGUAACGGCGAGUGAAGCGGCAACAGCUCAAAUUUGAAAUCUGGMCCWCUGGGCCCGAGUUGUAAUUUGUAGAGGGCGCUUUGGUGUUGGCCCCGGCCUAAGUUCCUUGGAACAGGACGUCACAGAGGGUGAGAACCCCGUACGUGGCCGGCGGCCUUCGCUGUGUAAAGCCCCUUCGACGAGUCGAGUUGUUUGGGAAUGCAGCUCUAAAUGGGAGGUAAAUUUCUUCUAAAGCUAAAUACUGGCCAGAGACCGAUAGCGCACAAGUAGAGUGAUCGAAAGAUGAAAAGCACUUUGGAAAGAGAGUCAAAAAGCACGUGAAAUUGUUGAAAGGGAAGCGCUUGCAGCCAGACUUGCCUGUAGUUGCUCACCUGGGCUCUUGCCCAGCGCACUCUUCUGCGGGCAGGCCAGCAUCAGUUCAAGCGGUCGGACAAAAGCCCUAGGAAUGUGGCUCCUUCCGGGGAGUGUUAUAGCCUAGGGCAUAAUGCGGCCAGCUUGGACUGAGGUCCGCGCAUUUGCUAGGAUGCUGGCGUAAUGGUUGUAAGCGGCCCGUCUUGAAACACGGACCAAGGAGUCUAACAUCUAUGCGAGUGUUUGGGUGUCAAGCCCGAGCGCGAAAUGAAAGUGAACGGAGGUGGGAACCCCCCGGGGCGCACCAUCGACCGAUCCUGAUGUCUUCGGAUGGAUUUGAGUAAGAGCAUAGCUGUUGGGACCCGAAAGAUGGUGAACUAUGCCUGAAUAGGGUGAAGCCAGAGGAAACUCUGGUGGAGGCUCGCAGCGGUUCUGACGUGCAAAUCGUUCGUCMMMUUUGGGCMUAGGGGCGAAAGACUAAUCGAACCAUSYUAUUCUUACKACCUCGAUCAUUAGAAGCGGGGGCCGGCGGAUAAACAAU